AUGUUAAAAGAUAGUAGGAAAUAC
RNAcentral lists this non-coding RNA (24 nucleotides) under Cricetulus griseus (Chinese hamster). Lineage: Eukaryota; Metazoa; Chordata; Mammalia; Rodentia; Cricetidae. The record is from RNAcentral.